CCUACGGGAGGCAGCAGUAGGGAAUAUUGCUCAAUGGGGGAAACCCUGAAGCAGCAACGCCGCGUGGAGGAUGAAGGUUCUUGGAUUGUAAACUCCUUUUGUUAGAGAAGAUAAUGACGGUAUUCAACGAAUAAGCACCGGCUAACUCCGUGCCAGCAGCCGCGGUAAUACGGAGGGUGCAAGCGUUAUCCGGAAUCACUGGGCGUAAAGAGCGCGUAGGCGGGAUAGCAAGUCAGAUGUGAAAUGCUAUGGCUUAACCAGAGAACUGCAUUUGAAACUGUUAUUCUAGAGUAUGGGAGAGGUAGGUGGAAUUCUUGGUGUAGGAGUAAAAUCCGUAGAGAUCGAGAGGAAUACUCAUUGCGAAGGCGACCUGCUGGAACAUAACUGACGCUGAGGCGCGAAAGCGUGGGGAGCGAACAGGAUUAGAUACCCCAGUAGUC
Molecule: ribosomal RNA, 440 nt
Filed under: uncultured bacterium
Lineage: Bacteria
Description: partial 16S ribosomal RNA
Rfam family: Bacterial small subunit ribosomal RNA
Source: RNAcentral